AGUAAGCGGCAGAGCCAGUCCCACAGGCCAGGCUUUGUCCUUCUAGACUCAGCCCCCUUUUCACCUCGCACACAGCCCCCUUGCUGAGGCUACAGAUGGUGUUCACGGAGCAGGCACUGUGGCCCGGAGGCUGAUCAGCAUGUGAAGAUGAUGUCUUUAGCCUAAUUAAGUAACCAAGUGGGAGCAUCUGCAUGAUCAAGUCUUUCCUUCCCCGGGCUUGCAUAAACCAUUUACCAUCUGCCUACUUUAUAGGAGACUUCUAAUUGGUGCCCUUGAGCUGAAGACUUCUGAUUAAAUUGAGUCCCUCAGUCUUUCUUGCAAUGCUUUGGACAUGUUACCUGCUCAGUGAAUAUUUGUCAGAUGGAUGGAACUAUUUACUUGCCAAGGAAAAGACAAUCUGUAAGGAGGUAGUGCUAUCAUUUCAGUUCUGACCCACUGGAACCUGACAUGUGAUCUGUCAUUGCCAGUAAAUACCUCAACCAACACGUCGUUCUGGCUUUUAGUUCCACUUCUCUGAAGCCCUCCUCCAGACUGGAGCAGAAGAGCAAGUCUUCUUGCAGUUCUACGACACUAGAAAUCAGAAAAUUCAAAGAGACUCUUGGGGAGUUAUGCUUCUCUAUGAGCAGGUUAUACUUCUUAUUAGGUUGGGCAUCCGUUAUUUUAUGUGAUAUCAUACUUUUAUAUUUUCUCACUGUAGCAGAAAAGAGUGUAGAGCUUUCCAUCUGUUUUUGCUAGCAGCAUUAAUAAAUUUGGCCCAAAAUGAGAAAUUCAGUAUGACAUAUAGAAAGCCGUCUAAGUUAUAUUCCACCCGUCCUCACAGUAAAACGCAAUGACUCUCAGCACAGUCUGUGAAUUGUUUUUAUUUGUCACAUUGGUCACUUGACUUCUUGUUUGACGUUAGCAUUGAAAACAUCGCAUGUUCUCAUCCCUUUGGUGUCAGGUUUUGGGGAGGCAUUUCUACUUUUUCCUCUACUAGAUUAGAAGUCCCCCAAAAUAGUCUUUGUAACAAAUAUCAGCUGAAGACAGUGUCAUACAAUGGCCAAAACACACACUUAGCACUCAGUGGGGUCCUGACGCAACAAGAGAUGUCACUCCUGCUAGAUGUGUAUGACUCUGGAG
This is a long non-coding RNA of Equus caballus (horse), 1119 nucleotides long. The record is from Ensembl. NCBI's taxonomy places the organism in Eukaryota, Metazoa, Chordata, Mammalia, Perissodactyla, Equidae.